This 735-nucleotide ribosomal RNA is filed under the name uncultured Corynebacterium sp. RNAcentral describes it as "bacterial SSU rRNA". It matches the Rfam family "Bacterial small subunit ribosomal RNA", at positions 28 to 776 of the family's 1533-position model. The record is from RNAcentral. Lineage: Bacteria; Bacillati; Actinomycetota; Actinomycetes; Mycobacteriales; Corynebacteriaceae.
GACGAACGCUGGCGGCGUGCUUAACACAUGCAAGUCGAACGGUAAGGCUCCAGCUUGCUGGGGUACACGAGUGGCGAACGGGUGAGUAACACGUGGGUGACCUGCCCUGCACUUCGGGAUAAGCCUGGGAAACUGGGUCUAAUACCGGAUAGGACCGCACCGUGAGGGUGUGGUGGAAAGUUUUUUCGGUGUGGGAUGGGCCCGCGGCCUAUCAGCUUGUUGGUGGGGUAAUGGCCUACCAAGGCGGCGACGGGUAGCCGGCCUGAGAGGGUGGACGGCCACAUUGGGACUGAGACACGGCCCAGACUCCUACGGGAGGCAGCAGUGGGGAAUAUUGCACAAUGGGCGGAAGCCUGAUGCAGCGACGCCGCGCGGGGGAUGACGGCCUUCGGGUUGUAAACUCCUUUCACCAUCGACGAAGGGUUUCUGACGGUAGAUGGAGAAGAAGCACCGGCUAACUACGUGCCAGCAGCCGCGGUAAUACGUAGGGUGCGAGCGUUGUCCGGAAUUACUGGGCGUAAAGAGCUCGUAGGUGGUUUGUCGCGUCGUCUGUGAAAUUCCGGGGCUUAACUCCGGGCGUGCAGGCGAUACGGGCAUAACUUGAGUACUGUAGGGGAGACUGGAAUUCCUGGUGUAGCGGUGAAAUGCGCAGAUAUCAGGAGGAACACCGGUGGCGAAGGCGGGUCUCUGGGCAGUAACUGACGCUGAGGAGCGAAAGCAUGGGGAGCGAACAGG